GCCUGACAAUAGAAGAGAAUAUUUGGGAAAUGAUGUGUCCUGGAAUCUUACAUGUGGAGUCAUCAUGACCUGUUGUGAGUGGCUCAAGAGCUGGGAUGGGUCUCAUUUAUCCUGCUUCCUUAGUGCCCUACAUUAUACAUGCUGAUUCCAGGUGUUCAAUAAAUGUGCACACCUUGAGUGAACAUCUGACUCACAAUCUUCUACUUUGUAUGAGCAAGAUGGGUUUGGUUCUUCCAGAGGUGGUCCUGAUAGGAGACAUCUCAUGGUGAUGGAAAGGAAAAACAGCUGCACUGGGUUGGAUGCACAGAAGAUAAAGUACCAUUGUGACAUUGAUCCUAGCCUAAUUUGAGACACUCUGUUACUCAACAUUAGACAAUAUGUCCAGAGCAGUUGCAAUUACAUGCCAGAUGUUUUUAGGCCACACAUGGAGUCUGAGAGUUGUCCCAAAUGGCAGAAUGUCUCAACACAUCAUUUGAAGGUCAUGAGUAGAAAGGGUCAACUCUACCCUGAACUUGUUCAUAGUCUCAGGCCAUUUGAUUUUUCUAGCACUGGUGACAUUGUAUGCUCUUGCUUUAUACCUUCUUAAACUUCAGGAUCUGAAUACUGCUCUGUGGUCUCAGCAUAAAUAUCAUUCUCCUCAUUUACUUCCAUUAUUCUUUAUCUUUUUGUAGGCAUAGGACAUAUAUGUAUUAUAGAUCAUAUGAGGCAUUGGACUCCUGCUCCAGGUCAGGUUCAAUGAGUUAAUGAUGGAAUUAAAAAUAUAUAUACCUGUUCUUUGACUUCUGAUGGUUUUGCCUGACUUCUUUCUAAUAUAGUUUUUAAUCUAUGAAAUGUAUAAAUAAGCAAAAUUAUAAAAGGGGGUGGGUGCUUUUAUCAUCAGGGAAGCUCUUUGUUUUCCAUGUCAACUUAGAAACCCCAUUUAUUCCUUUGCAGGGAGUGUAUGGAAUUAUUUCAGAGCUCAUUAAUAUAGUAGAGUUGAUUUUGACAGUUCCUCUAAGUGACUUCUGUUCAUUCUCCUCAACCCCAACAGCCCUGGCUGAGAGAGAACUUUGGCAUCCAAAGGGGCUUCUUCCAGGACUCCUGAGAAAAUGGUGGUUUGGGCUGACUGCCAGCAAAUCGAAGCCUGCCCAAGUUUAUCUAAUUUGUUGAUUUUGAACUUUCAAGAGAAAUGAGAACACCUUGAAAGGAGAAUCACUGCUCGUAACUUUUAGUCAUUCUAAUGGCCUUUAUCUACUCACUGAAACUCAAUUAUGCAUACAAAGAGGUACAGUGUAUUGUGCUAGUUUUUCAUGGAAUUUAUGUUUAGAUUAUUGUACAAAAUUAGCCCCCUCUCCCUCUAAAAUUGGAUUUUUAUUAUUUUUUUUAAAGAUUCUAUUAUUUAUUUGAGAGAGAGAGAUAGCGAGAGAGAGUAGAAUAGGUGGGAGGGUCAGAGAGAGAAGCAGGCUCCUUGCUGAGCAGGGAGCCCCAUACAGGGCUCAAUCCCAGGACCCCGAGAUCAUGACCUGAGCUGGAAGUAGGUGAUUAACCUAAGGGCUACCCAGGCACCCCAAAACUGGAUUUUUAUAGUUCUGAUCCAUCAUUGAAUUUUCUGGAUUCCUUUUAGAUCUGUACUUUGGGUGGGGUGUUGGUUUGUCUUCUGUUUUGGAGGAGAGAAUAUUGUUUCUGGUAGGAUCAAUGGCAUCUAGAACAAGAACUUUCUGAGUAACUUUCUAUUACCUUUACACUUUGAUGUUGAGGAGAGGACAGGUGAUUUUCCCAGGGAUACUCAUCAGUAGGGAGCGUAAGAGGAGUGCAUGCCAGUUGGUAGCCUAUUUACAACAAUGAAUGUCCUAGUUGACCGUCCCUUUCUACUAAAUACCUGCUUGAAGAAUCCUCUUUGCUAUUCAUGGAACUACAGAGGUCUUCGGGCAUCUCAUUGUAAAUGACCUCUUCUGGAUCCUCAGUCACAGUUUCCUAGAGAAUUAGUGGUGACCUCAACUCACACUAAAACAUUUAGUCAUUACUUCUAACAUCAUACUAAAAUGCUACACAUUUUGGGGAAGGUUCUUUUUAGCAUUUUUAGUUUCCUAUGGUCAUUUCCUUAAGUCAGUGGUUCCUAAUCUAUUUAGAAUUACAAACAUUUGUAACUAAAUGAAAGCAAACGACACUG
This 2149-nucleotide long non-coding RNA is filed under the name Vulpes vulpes (red fox). RNAcentral describes it as "lncRNA (ENSVVUG00000030179.1)". The record is from RNAcentral. Lineage: Eukaryota; Metazoa; Chordata; Mammalia; Carnivora; Canidae.